GAGAACAAAAGAGAAAUUAGAAGAGGGUACUUCUAGCUCCACCUUGAGAACACUGGGAGUAUGGGCUUACAGCAGAAGAGGAAAGUGGUGAGGUCAGCAGCUGAGGCGUGGAUGGGGAGAAGAGAGAACGGAAACUCAUUGAGAAAUACAUUGUGUCAGCUGGGAAACCUGACAGGGUCAUUGGCCACCAGGCCACGAGGACAAAGGGAGCAGAAUCGAUGAACAGGAUUUCAGAUGGCCGAGGAUCCUGGUUCAGUCCCACAUCGUGGCUCACCACCUUAUCUCCAGUUCCCGAGGACACAACCUCCUCUUCUGAACUUGGUGGGUACAGAGUGCACAUACAGACAUUCAGGAGAAACAUUG
Molecule: long non-coding RNA, 363 nt
Filed under: Mus caroli (Ryukyu mouse)
Lineage: Eukaryota; Metazoa; Chordata; Mammalia; Rodentia; Muridae
Description: RIKEN cDNA 0610043K17 gene (MGP_CAROLIEiJ_G0005890.1)
Source: RNAcentral